UAAUCUCACAACUAAGAACAAUACAAAAUGUUCCAAAAAAAUAGAAAACAAUUAACAACAGAAUAAGAAUAGAAAACAAAAGAAAACAAUUAAUUAAAUCACAAUCGAAAUCGGUUAACAAAUGAAAAGAAUUUUAAAUUUCUACUUAUCAACCAAUGAGAAUCGAUUAGAGUUUCAAUUAGACAUUAGAUGGAGUUAGAUGAACAUCUAAUUGUAAGAUUAAUGUUCAUUUCUAAUUGUGUGUUUAACUUUUUACAAAUUAAUUUAAAUUGUUCUUUUAAUUGUUGUAAAUUGUUUCGUAAUUGUGUACCUGAGAGGAGCAACAAUUAAUACAAUUUUCCAUUUACAAUGUUUUCCAUCAACGGAAAAAAUUGCUUCGUCACCGACAAUUUAAAUUUAUUAAAUCAGUCAGAAUUAUCAGCGGAAAAAAACUAUUACCAUUAUUAUAGUUAUUGUGACUGUGUUACCAUGAUGGAGAAAAGCAAAAAAAAAUGAUGAUCACUAAUGAUGAACAAACAAUCAAUGAAUUCCGGGUAACAACAAUUGAGACGAGAAGAGAAAAUUUUUACAAUCAUUCAAGUGAUUAACAUAAUCAUCAUCAUGUUACUCUUAUCCAAUUUUACACCAUGUUAUCAAUUUUUGGACAAUCAAGUUAAAGGAUAUGAAAAGGAUUAACAUCUCAUGGAUUUACAUCAUAAUUUAACCAGGAAAAAGUUUCAAGUUAAUCAUUGAGAGAGAUAGAGUUGCAAAGGAUUAAGGAUCUAUUAGAUUUAAACAGCAAUUUUAAUCUUCUUUUCGUUGAGGAAAAAAAAAGUUAAAUGUUAAUCAAUAUCUCUUUUAUUGAUUAACUUUUUUUUUCUGCAUCAAAUCAUUUACAGAAGCAGUUUAUUGUUCAAAUGAUUGAUGUUUUAAUGUGCUAGUUGAUUUGAAUAUUAGAUAUGUUAGUUACACUUUGAUUCCCAUUGAUGAUUCAAUUGUUGCAUGAAUAUAUUGAUUCACUAUUAA
This is a long non-coding RNA of Panonychus citri (citrus red mite), 1005 nucleotides long. RefSeq lists it as uncharacterized. The transcript is spliced from 3 exons. Lineage: Eukaryota; Metazoa; Arthropoda; Arachnida; Trombidiformes; Tetranychidae. The record is from RefSeq and is a predicted model, not a curated record.